AGCAGUCGCCGCGGUAAUACGGAGGAUCCAAGCGUUAUCCGGAAUCAUUGGGUUUAAAGGGUCCGUAGGCGGUCUUGUAAGUCAGUGGUGAAAGCCCAUCGCUCAACGGUGGAACGGCCAUUGAUACUGCAGGACUUGAAUUAUUGGGAAGUAACUAGAAUAUGUAGUGUAGCGGUGAAAUGCUUAGAGAUUACAUGGAAUACCAAUUGCGAAGGCAGGUUACUACCAAUUGAUUGACGCUGAUGGACGAAAGCGUGGGUAGCGAACAGGAUUAGAUACCCCCGUAGUCCCUGUCUCUUAUAA
This 303-nucleotide ribosomal RNA is filed under the name uncultured bacterium. RNAcentral describes it as "partial 16S ribosomal RNA". It matches the Rfam family "Bacterial small subunit ribosomal RNA", at positions 507 to 809 of the family's 1533-position model. The record is from RNAcentral.